GAAACUUCUAACUCUUCAACUGAAAAUAUAAAGGCGUUAGGAAGCAAUCACCACCGCAGGUACUGGUGAAACCGAUAAAAAUAGAUAUCGCUUGCAUAUUUCUCAUUGUCAUUAUCAGGGCUGCACAUUUAAAGUAAUAAAAAAUGACAAGUGUUUUUUAAAAAAAAAACAACAAUUUGAAAUGCAGUGCUAAAUCCAUCGCUGAACAUUAGGUGUAUAUGUAGUUUGCAUGGAUUCAGUCAAUUAAGAUGAUUUUCAGUGCACUUUUAUCCGGUAAUUACUUUUGGAUCUAGCACGUCUGAAUAAUUCCUUUUAUUAGCUGGAGCUGCGUUUUUGCCCUUAUUUUGUGAAAUAAAUGUGAAGAAAUUACAUUUACGAUGACUUAUAGCAACAGGUCUAAACCAACUAUGUGUGUGUGUGUGUUCUUACAUCUUUAGGUGUAUGUUAUAUUAUCAUGUAUGUUUUCUGCUAAAAAUACCAGCAUACACUACAAGGUUCUCUGGUAUGCUUAGUCCAUAAUGUGAAAUCUACAAGGCAGUGACACUAGGAGAGCAAUCAACCAUUCUUUAGACUACCUCCAAAUUGCAAAGAAAACCAAAUAAUCUCAAGUCCGUAUAAAAUAUAACGGGAAGGCUGACAAGGGGAUAUUUUUAGGAACCGUGUCUAAAUAUACAGAGUAAGAGUGAAUGUUAAAAAAAAAAGUUGUGGGUUGUAGAAGUUAUCAAGUGGGAUUUGCGGCGCGCUCUCUGCAGGAAACGAAAGCUGCUCCAGUUCAAAGCCACAUGCACCAACGUGACAUAUAAGCCAUUAAAAUAUCCUCCUGACGGCUCAUUUCUGUUUCAUCAUACAUUCCCUAACUGCUUCCAGAAAGCAAGAAAAGAAGAAAUGAAGGAUGACCGCCUCGCUGGAACCGCCAAAGAGGGACAAAGUCAGGAAAUGAGACACAAGACUUCUCUGGUAAUGAGGAAAAGAAAACGACUUUACAGAAACAUCCUGGAAAAGUCAAAUGUUUUCUCCCUUGACUGAGAAGUGUCAGAAUUGAUGGAUAACAAGUAUGUAGAGAUGAAGUGUUUUAAGGAGGUAUGAGGAAACAGCUAUAUUUGGAAGUCACACUCUCAGUAUAUUUGUAAGUAGCAGAUUAAUAAUUCCUAACGUUUAUCUCUUCUGUGCACUCCUAUUGAGAUGGGCAGGAAUAGGAAUGUCAAAUGCAUUACUUAGUGCAAAUAGACUUGAAAGUUAAGAUGUUGUGGCGCUAACUGCUGGUGUGUGAUUUAAAAUGCCUGAGUAAACAUGUUAUGUAAGGAUGGAUAACUAAUUGUAUCAUGUGUCAUUUUUCAUCAUCUCAAGUCAAAAAUAUGUACACAAUAAUGUAAACACAACGAUCUAGCUAAAUAUUAGCUUUGUGUUACAUAAAACAGAGUCAAAUCCGGGCUCAUUCCAAAAAUAUGUAACCGUAGCCAACGCUCGCUAUGCAAAGCAGUAAUAAAAAUGUCCCAUAUAUAAUUACGUACGUCCUA
This 1517-nucleotide long non-coding RNA is filed under the name Chrysemys picta bellii (western painted turtle). RNAcentral describes it as "lncRNA (ENSCPBG00000011865.1)". Lineage: Eukaryota; Metazoa; Chordata; Testudines; Emydidae. The record is from RNAcentral.